RNAcentral lists this unclassified non-coding RNA (279 nucleotides) under Melitaea cinxia (Glanville fritillary). RNAcentral's name for it is "misc RNA ENSMCXG00005016267.1". Lineage: Eukaryota; Metazoa; Arthropoda; Insecta; Lepidoptera; Nymphalidae. The record is from RNAcentral.
AUGCUAUACAUUCGAGAAGCACUAUCCACACCUUCUAAAUAUAGUUUCUUUGAAUUUUUGCUGACACAAUAUGAUACUAUCAAUGAAAACGAUUUGACAUCAUCACACACACUUCUCGUCAUCUCUUUAUCUAUAAUUCAGUUCUUGUGCUAAUAUUUGCCACGUUGAUCUACUAAAACUGAAAUUCGUUCCUCAAAUUUUUUCCAUUAUGUAGUGAGAUGAUGCGCUUACCUGUUUCUCACUAGGUUUUGCUUUACUCAAAAUGUUUUCAUCGGCAUU